This 500-nucleotide ribosomal RNA is filed under the name uncultured bacterium. RNAcentral describes it as "partial 16S ribosomal RNA". It matches the Rfam family "Bacterial small subunit ribosomal RNA", at positions 28 to 507 of the family's 1533-position model. The record is from RNAcentral.
GACGAACGCUGGCGGCGUGCCUAAUACAUGCAAGUCGAGCGGACUGAUUCAGAGCUUGCUCUUAUGACGUUAGCGGCGGACGGGUGAGUAACACGUGGGCAACCUGCCCUGUAGAUCGGGAUAACACCGAGAAAUCGGUGCUAAUACCGGGUAAUAUCUGAGAUCACAUGAUCUUAGGUUAAAAGAUGGCUCCGGCUAUCACUACAGGAUGGGCCCGCGGCGCAUUAGCUAGUUGGUAAGGUAAUGGCUUACCAAGGCGACGAUGCGUAGCCGACCUGAGAGGGUGAUCGGCCACACUGGGACUGAGACACGGCCCAGACUCCUACGGGAGGCAGCAGUAGGGAAUCUUCCGCAAUGGACGAAAGUCUGACGGAGCAACGCCGCGUGAGUGAUGAAGGGUUUCGGCUCGUAAAGCUCUGUUGUUAGGGAAGAAACAGUACCGAACGAACUAGGUCGGUACCUUGACGGUACCUAACCAGAAAGCCACGGCUAACUACGUG